UACGGAGGGUGCAAGCGUUAAUCGGAAUUACUGGGCGUAAAGCGCGCGUAGGUGGUUUGAUAAGCGAGAUGUGAAAGCCCCGGGCUUAACCUGGGAACGGCAUUUCGAACUGUCAGGCUAGAGUAUGGUAGAGGGAGUGGAUUGACUUCUGUAGUGUGAA
This 160-nucleotide ribosomal RNA is filed under the name uncultured bacterium. RNAcentral describes it as "partial 16S ribosomal RNA". It matches the Rfam family "Bacterial small subunit ribosomal RNA", at positions 524 to 685 of the family's 1533-position model. The record is from RNAcentral.